GAGAAGUGACGUGUUACGUCAGACGCCGGAAAACUCCGCCGCGCGGUUUUGAAGUUCACAGGUGCACCGCAUUGCUUGUUAAUUGCGACUCGACCUGGUCCGGAUGAACAGCCCAAACAGAAAGAUACGAGUUUCUGCGCACGAAGACCAGGUCGACGUUGUCUAGCGAGUACAGUACACUCCGGAACCGAAAAGACAAGAUACAUCAUCCUCAACAUCAAGUUCUUCAACACAGAUUCUAUGGACCAGUGUUUACCAUGAGUGGAGAAGUUGGAUCCUGGAGAAAAAAAAUUCUUGUUUAGGUGCUGACCCACAAGGACCCAGACUCAUCACAGCUGAUGAAGUUUACAUCCUGAUCCCUGCUCACCUGCAUAAGGAUUUUUCUUUUUCUUUGUGUGAUCUUUAUCUACAUGUUUCACUGGGGUCACUAACAGAUGGACUGAGUCCCAGUCAGGAUGUUAAUUCAGUUGUAAAUGCACUGGCCACUAAUUUUCAGUCCAGUAUAAUUUGAGGAUGUUGGGUAUUUUAGAGAAGUAUACUGUACAGGUAAUUAAAACUUUGACUUUUACUUUUUGCCUUGACUUUUUUACUUUCUGGUUUUUAGGUGCUAUGAAGUUGGCAAUUGUUGGAUUUUUAAUAACAUUUAGCUCGUGUGUUGUUGUUUUUUUUGUUUGUUUUUUUAAAUGUUAAAUUGACUUUGUCAAAAUUUAAACUCACCAAUUCUGUCAAACUUGUCCUCUGAAAAAUUAAUCAUUUCACUCGAUAUACGUGCAGGGCUAAGUUGACAAAUGUAUAAAUAUACUGGUGUAAUCUGUUAGGCUUACAGGUUAGAUUGUGCAUUUAGGUUCUUUAACAGGAAAUCAACUUGGCAGAGAGAGACAACAGGAGACUUGGUGCUGGUUGUUGGGUCCAUACCAGCUCUGGAAAUCUAACCUCCUGGACUGUUGUGUGGUAGUAGCCCAGAUGGACCAACUCCUUGGUAGCCAGAUCUUCUCAGCCACACCAUGUCUCCAGACCUUCUAUGAAGAGCAGCAUUAAAAACGACAGACCUGAAAUUAUGGAACGUGGAGAGACUACAUGCUGGUCAGAGCACGUCACGACUUCAGCCAAUGAAAUCCAGACCUGCCUCCUUCCUACUGGGUGUCUUAAAGUCUGUACUAAACUCUUUGUUUAGAUCGUGCCGCCCCCCCCAGGACCCUGACUCACCACAGCUGAUGGGCUUGAAUGGACUCAAGCCCUGCUCGACUACAUGUGGAUUUUCUCUUUUGUGUCUGUGUUCAUAUCUAAUUGCAUGUUGUUUAAUGGUCUAUUGUUUGCGCAGGGUAAUUUUUAGAAGUCAACUGUACACUUAUUUAAAUAUUUGACUGUGAUUUUAAGACUACUUGGUUAAAACGACCAUUCAGCCCAUAGAUAUUUUUAUAAUAAACUCACCGAUUCUGUCAAACUGACACUAUUUGGACUUAAAUUGUCUUUAGUGUCAUUAAACCGUUUUGGACUUUUUGCUCUGCCUUGUCUCUCCCUGCCAAGUCCAUUUCCUGCUAAAGACAUGUCUGCCCUUCUGUGGCAUUUAGACAGUGUUGGGAGGCCGCCCAGCUGAGGAAUAUUGUAAUUUUGUCCUCUGCUUAAUUAAUCGUUUCACUAGAUACAUGCAAGGUUGACGUGACAAAUUUAUAAAUACAUUGUAUUGCUCGUUAAGGUUCUUUAACAGAAAAUAUACUUGGCAUAAAGAGAUGACAGGAGACCUGAAUGCUUUGUCUUCAUUUCUGAAAGGUGACAUCCCAACUCUCACCCGGGGGACACAAACGCCUCGCAUACAGCCGUCGGACGCAGCAGCUGAAUCUGCUCCUGCUGCUUUCUCCGACGACUUCUUCAACCGAGCUCUUGCGGUUUCCAACUGCAACGACGAGUCUCUGUGUUGGGGUAGAGGAGGGAGGACUGCUGGCUCCAGGACCGCAACCUGCUCAGACCGUCCAGGCUCAGCCAAUCGGGGGGCGUCAAACGUGAACAUGGUGGCUGCCGGCGUCUCCGAAGAAAAAAAUAUCAUCCGUCUCUUUCAACUCAGAGGAUGGGGGUGAGUGGAUGUGGAGGGAGGGGAGGGAGGGGGGGGCGGGGGGAGGGGGGGUGCAAAUCAGG
Molecule: long non-coding RNA, 2133 nt
Organism: Cynoglossus semilaevis (tongue sole)
Lineage: Eukaryota; Metazoa; Chordata; Actinopteri; Pleuronectiformes; Cynoglossidae
Exons: 9
Source: RefSeq, a predicted model, not a curated record